GACGAGCGCUGGCGGCGUGCUUAACACAUGCAAGUCGAACGGAAAGGCCCUGCUUUUGUGGGGUGCUCGAGUGGCGAACGGGUGAGUAACACGUGAGUAACCUGCCCUUGACUUUGGGAUAACUUCAGGAAACUGGGGCUAAUACCGGAUAGGAGCUCCUGCUGCAUGGUGGGGGUUGGAAAGUUUCGGCGGUUGGGGAUGGACUCGCGGCUUAUCAGCUUGUUGGUGGGGUAGUGGCUUACCAAGGCUUUGACGGGUAGCCGGCCUGAGAGGGUGACCGGCCACAUUGGGACUGAGAUACGGCCCAAACUCCUACGGGAGGCAGCAGUGGGGAAUAUUGCACAAUGGGCGGAAGCCUGAUGCAGCAACGCCGCGUGCGGGAUGACGGCCUUCGGGUUGUAAACCGCUUUCGCCUGUGACGAAGCGUGAGUGACGGUAAUGGGUAAAGAAGCACCGGCUAACUACGUG
This 468-nucleotide ribosomal RNA is filed under the name uncultured bacterium. RNAcentral's name for it is "partial 16S ribosomal RNA". It matches the Rfam family "Bacterial small subunit ribosomal RNA", at positions 28 to 507 of the family's 1533-position model. The record is from RNAcentral.